ACACAGAGCCGCCUUUCAGCCGCCCGAGAACGGCCCGCCGCACUCCGCGACUGCGGCGCCUGCUCUCGGGCCGGGGUCUGCGCGCACCACGCGGCCGUCAGGAAGGGUAAGAGAAGGGAACCCCGCUUUGCAGGGCUCCAACUUCGGCGGACGCGUUACGGCGAGGGCGAAAUGAGUCGGCCGUGAACGGUGUUUCCUGUUCCGAAUCCCGAGAGCCCUGGAAAGUUUUGAAGGAGGAGGCAUGGCCCGGCAGCCUUAUCGUUUUCCCCAGGCAAGGAUUCCGGAGAGAGGAUCAGGUGUUUUCGGGUUAACCGUCAGGUUGGAGUCCAGUGGCACAUUCUCAGCUCACUGCAACCUCUGCCUCCUGGGUUCCAAGUGAUUCUUGUGCCUCAGCCUCCCGAGUAGCUGGGGUUACAGAAAUGCAAUGGCACAUCGUGAUUCUGAGAUGAAAGAAGAAUGUCUAAGGGAAGACCUGAAGUUUUACUUCAUGAGCCCUUGUGAAAAAUACCGAGCCAGACGCCAGAUUCCAUGGAAACUGGGUUUGCAGAUUUUGAAGAUAGUCAUGGUCACCACACAG
RNAcentral lists this small RNA (577 nucleotides) under Pan troglodytes (chimpanzee). Its description in RNAcentral is "processed transcript". Lineage: Eukaryota; Metazoa; Chordata; Mammalia; Primates; Hominidae. The record is from RNAcentral.